This 377-nucleotide unclassified non-coding RNA is filed under the name uncultured bacterium. Its description in RNAcentral is "contains 16S-23S intergenic spacer region". The record is from RNAcentral.
UCCGGUUUGUCACCGGCAGUCUCCUUAGAGUGCCCAACUGAAUGAUGGCAACUAAGGACGAGGGUUGCGCUCGUUACGGGACUUAACCCAACAUCUCACGACACGAGCUGACGACAGCCAUGCAGCACCUGUCUUAGAGCUCCCGAAGGCACCUCUGCAUCUCUGCAAAGUUCCCUAGAUGUCAAGGGUAGGUAAGGUUUUUCGCGUUGCAUCGAAUUAAACCACAUGCUCCACCGCUUGUGCGGGCCCCCGUCAAUUCCUUUGAGUUUCAGCCUUGCGGCCGUACUCCCCAGGCGGGGCACUUAAUGCGUUAGCGCCGGCACCCAGGGGGUCGCUCCCCCAGGCACCUAGUGCCCAUCGUUUACGGCGUGGACUAC